UGAGGUCAAUGUCAGAACCAAGGUAAAGC
Molecule: non-coding RNA, 29 nt
Filed under: Mus musculus (house mouse)
Lineage: Eukaryota; Metazoa; Chordata; Mammalia; Rodentia; Muridae
Source: RNAcentral